UGUGACCUCGGAUCAGGUAGGAAUACCCGCUGAACUUAAGCAUAUCAAUAAGCGGGAGAG
RNAcentral lists this ribosomal RNA (60 nucleotides) under Trichoderma simmonsii. RNAcentral describes it as "partial 28S ribosomal RNA". The record is from RNAcentral. Lineage: Eukaryota; Fungi; Ascomycota; Sordariomycetes; Hypocreales; Hypocreaceae.